AUAGAUACCCGGGUAGUCCACGCCCUAAACGAUGCGAACUGGAUGUUGGGUACAUUACGGUACUCAGUGUCGAAGCUAACGCGUUAAGUUCGCCGCCUGGGGAGUACGGUCGCAAGACUGAAACUCAAAGGAAUUGACGGGGGCCCGCACAAGCGGUGGAGUAUGUGGUUUAAUUCGAUGCAACGCGAAGAACCUUACCUGGCCUUGACAUCUGUCGAAUCCUGCAGAGAUGCGGGAGUGCCGCAAGGAACGACAAGACAGGUGCUGCAUGGCUGUCGUCAGCUCGUGUCGUGAGAUGUUGGGUUAAGUCCCGCAACGAGCGCAACCCUUGUCCCUAGUUGCCAGCACGUAAUGGUGGGAACUCUAGGGAGACUGCCGGUGACAAACCGGAGGAAGGUGGGGAUGACGUCAAGUCCUCAUGGCCCUUACGGCCAGGGCUACACACGUACUACAAUGGUCGGUACAGAGGGUUGCGAAGCCGCGAGGUGGAGCCAAUCCCAGAAAACCGAUCCCAGUCCGGAUCGGAGUCUGCAACUCG
This 538-nucleotide ribosomal RNA is filed under the name uncultured bacterium. Its description in RNAcentral is "bacterial SSU rRNA". It matches the Rfam family "Bacterial small subunit ribosomal RNA", at positions 778 to 1314 of the family's 1533-position model. The record is from RNAcentral.